RNAcentral lists this ribosomal RNA (399 nucleotides) under uncultured bacterium. RNAcentral describes it as "bacterial SSU rRNA". It matches the Rfam family "Bacterial small subunit ribosomal RNA", at positions 359 to 775 of the family's 1533-position model. The record is from RNAcentral.
GAAUAUUGGACAAUGGGCGCAAGCCUGAUCCAGCCAUGCCGCGUGAGUGAUGAAGGCCUUAGGGUUGUAAAGCUCUUUCAGUGGGGAAGAUAAUGACGGUACCCACAGAAGAAGCCCCGGCUAACUUCGUGCCAGCAGCCGCGGUAAUACGAAGGGGGCUAGCGUUGUUCGGAUUUACUGGGCGUAAAGCGCACGUAGGCGGAUUGGUCAGUUAGAGGUGAAAUCCCGAAGCUCAACUUCGGAACUGCCUUUAAUACUGCCAGUCUAGAGUCCGGAAGAGGUAAGUGGAACUCCUAGUGUAGAGGUGGAAUUCGUAGAUAUUAGGAAGAACACCAGUGGCGAAGGCGGCUUACUGGUCCGGUACUGACGCUGAGGUGCGAAAGCGUGGGGAGCAAACAG